UGACCGAUCUCACACUUCGGAAACGAUAAGUAUACAUUAGUUUAUUUUGUUCAAGUGUUGAGUUCAGUUCAUUCAAUACUGUUCAUUAAAUUCUAUCCAUUAAAUUCAGUUCACUUCAUUUCAUAAAUUAACUGUUAUACGCCUUAUCUAGUUCAUGUCUUAAGUUAGGUUCAUACAGAUUAAUUGACACUGAAUUAUAGACAAGAAAUGUUCACACAGAAGUAAUAAGGCAUGAAGUUGAUAUUUCGUUAAAUAUUAACUGUUCACAUAAAGUUAGAAUUUUCACAGAAAGUUCUACAGCUAAAGAUAAAGAGAGGUCAUCUUCAGGCUUCUUCCUUGUCAUCGUCGCCAUCUAAAGAGUCUAGAAGAGAUGGAUCUACCUUGGCCCGAGCUUUUUCUUACUUUUACUUCGGCAGAUUUCAU
RNAcentral lists this long non-coding RNA (423 nucleotides) under Panax ginseng (ginseng). Its description in RNAcentral is "long non-coding RNA (PGIN_LNC006770)". Lineage: Eukaryota; Viridiplantae; Streptophyta; Magnoliopsida; Apiales; Araliaceae. The record is from RNAcentral.